CCUACGGGUGGCAGCAGUGAGGAAUAUUGGUCAAUGGACGAGAGUCUGAACCAGCCAAGUAGCGUGAAGGAUGACUGCCCUAUGGGUUGUAAACUUCUUUUAUAUGGGAAUAAAAUGUUACACGUGUGGGAUUUUGUAUGUACAAUAUGAAUAAGGAUCGGCUCACUCCGUGCCAGCAGCCGCGGUAAUACGGAGGAUCCGAGCGUUGUCCGGAUUUAUUGGGUUUAACGGGAGCGUAGGUGGAUUUUUAAGUCAGUUGUGAAAGUUUGCGGCUCAACCGUAAAAUUGCAGUUGAAACUGGCAGUCUUGAGUACAGUAGAGGUGGGCGGAAUUCGUGGUGUAGCGGUGAAAUGCUUAGAUAUCACGAAGAACUCCGAUUGCGAAGGCAGUUCACUGGACUGCAACUGACACUGAGGCUCGAAAGUGUGGGUAUCAAACAGGAUUAGAUACCCCUGUAGUG
RNAcentral lists this ribosomal RNA (460 nucleotides) under uncultured bacterium. RNAcentral describes it as "partial 16S ribosomal RNA". It matches the Rfam family "Bacterial small subunit ribosomal RNA", at positions 338 to 795 of the family's 1533-position model. The record is from RNAcentral.